Molecule: long non-coding RNA, 482 nt
Organism: Globicephala melas (long-finned pilot whale)
Lineage: Eukaryota; Metazoa; Chordata; Mammalia; Artiodactyla; Delphinidae
Source: RefSeq, a predicted model, not a curated record
CUGGCUGAGCCCGCAGCGCCGCCGCCCGCCGGGCGCCGCCUGGCGCUGGCCGGCGCGGAACCUACUGCUGCUGCCGGGUACCACCGGGCUGGCGGACUUACCCUCAGCGCGUAGGCCCAGCUGCUACGGCGCGCGCCCGCGCCUCAUGUGGAAGCACCGGUGGCAGAAUAUUAACUACCAAUAUCUGGGCAAGAGGAAGACACAUCUAGCUCCCCUGCGCCCGUGAGAGCCGCCAGUUAUUAUGCUAACACUUCGCGGGCCUCAUCACAACCCUAUGAGGGACUUGGGAAGACAGGCUUCAGGUUCAUCUCCUCAUGGUCCUGAGGCUAACUUGUGCCAAGCCAGGAUGAGCAGGAAGAUGCCUGGAACACUGCACAGUCCUGUGUCCCCUCUCAGUGGAUGAAGAUUGUCCACCUUUGCCCUCUCCCCUGGUAUCUCCAUGUUUCUGCCCUUCACUGCCCGAAUAAAGCAGCUUUCACUGC